Molecule: ribosomal RNA, 402 nt
Filed under: bacterium
Lineage: Bacteria
Description: partial 16S ribosomal RNA
Rfam family: Bacterial small subunit ribosomal RNA
Source: RNAcentral
UGGGGAAUUUUGCACAAUGGGGGAAACCCUGAUGCAGCGACGCCGCGUGAUUUAGAAGGCCUUCGGGUUGUAAAAAUCCUUUCUAUGGGAAGAAAAUGACAGUACCAUAGGAAUAAGGACCGGCUAAUUACGUGCCAGCAGCCGCGGUAAUACGUAAGGUCCGAGCGUUGUCCGGAAUCAUUGGGCGUAAAGGGUACGUAGGCGGGUAAGCAAGUUAGAAGUGAAAUCCUAUAGCUUAACUAUAGUAAGCUUUUAAAACUGCUCAGCUUGAGGUAAGGAAGGGAAAGUGGAAUUCCUAGUGUAGUGGUGAAAUGCGCAGAUAUUAGGAGGAAUACCGGUGGCGAAGGCGACUUUCUGGCCAUAACCUGACGCUGAGGUACGAAAGCGUGGGUAGCAAACAGG